CCUACGGGAGGCAGCAGUAGGGAAUAUUGGACAAUGGGGGGAACCCUGAUCCAGCGACGCCGCGUGAGUGAAGAAGUAUUUCGGUAUGUAAAGCUCUGUCAGCAGGGAAGAAAGAAAUGACGGUACCUGACUAAGAAGCCCCGGCUAACUACGUGCCAGCAGCCGCGGUAAUACGUAGGGGGCAAGCGUUAUCCGGAUUUACUGGGAGUAAAGGGAGCGUAGACGGCGAUGCAAGUCUGAAGUGAAAGGCGGGGGCUCAACCUCCGGACUGCUUUGGAAACUGUAUGGCUGGAGUGCAGGAGAGGUAAGUGGAAUUCCUAGUGUAGCGGUGAAAUGCGCAGAUAUUAGGAGGAACACCAGUGGCGAAGGCGGCUUACUGGACUGUAACUGACGUUGAGGCGCGAAAGCGUGGGGAGCAAACAGGAUUAGAUACCCUUGUAGUC
Molecule: ribosomal RNA, 443 nt
Filed under: uncultured bacterium
Lineage: Bacteria
Description: partial 16S ribosomal RNA
Rfam family: Bacterial small subunit ribosomal RNA
Source: RNAcentral